GAUGAACGCUGGCGGCGUGCCUAAUACAUGCAAGUCGAGCGAACAGAUAAGGCGCUUGCUUCUUUGACGUUAGCGGCGGACGGGUGAGUAACACGUGGGUAACCUACCUAGAAGACUGGGAUAACUUCGGGAAACCGGAGCUAAUACCGGAUAACAUUUGGAACCGCAUGGUUCUAAAGUGAAAGAUGGUUUUGCUAUCACUUAUAGAUGGACCCGCGCCGUAUUAGCUAGUUGGUAAGGUAACGGCUCACCAAGGCGACGAUACGUAGCCGACCGGAGAGGGUGAUCGGCCACACUGGAACUGAGACACGGUCCAGACUCCUACGGGAGGCAGCAGUAGGGAAUUUUCCGCAAUGGGCGAAAGCCUGACGGAGCAACGCCGCGUGAGUGAUGAAGGGUUUCGGCUCGUAAAACUCUGUUAGUAGGGAAGAACAAACGUGUAAGUAAAUGUGCAGGUCUUGACGGUACCUAAUCAAAAAGCACCGGCUAACUACGUG
RNAcentral lists this ribosomal RNA (497 nucleotides) under uncultured bacterium. RNAcentral describes it as "partial 16S ribosomal RNA". It matches the Rfam family "Bacterial small subunit ribosomal RNA", at positions 28 to 507 of the family's 1533-position model. The record is from RNAcentral.